UACGGGGGGGGCAAGCGUUGUUCGGAAUUACUGGGCGUAAAGGGCUCGUAGGCGGCCAACUAAGUCAGACGUGAAAUCCCUCGGCUUAACCGGGGAACUGCGUCUGAUACUGGAUGGCUUGAGAUUGGGAGAGGGAUGCGGAAUUCCAGGUGUAGCGGUGAAAUGCGUAGAUAUCUGGAGGAACACCGGUGGCGAAGGCGGCCUGCUGGGCAGUUUGGCUGACACUGAGGCGCGACAGCGUGGGGAGCAAACAGG
Molecule: ribosomal RNA, 255 nt
Filed under: uncultured bacterium
Lineage: Bacteria
Description: partial 16S ribosomal RNA
Rfam family: Bacterial small subunit ribosomal RNA
Source: RNAcentral